This 253-nucleotide ribosomal RNA is filed under the name uncultured bacterium. Its description in RNAcentral is "partial 16S ribosomal RNA". It matches the Rfam family "Bacterial small subunit ribosomal RNA", at positions 524 to 776 of the family's 1533-position model. The record is from RNAcentral.
UACAGAGGUCCCAAGCGUUGUUCGGAUUCACUGGGCGUAAAGGGUGCGUAGGUGGUGAGGUAAGUCGGAUGUGAAAGCUCGGAGCUCAACUCCGAAAUGGCAUUGGAAACUACCUUGCUCGAGGGUUGGAGGGGGGACUGGAAUACUUGGUGUAGCAGUGAAAUGCGUAGAUAUCAAGUGGAACACCAGUGGCGAAGGCGAGGCCCUGGACAACUCCUGACACUGAGGCACGAAAGCUAGGGGAGCAAACAGG